AACCGCUAUCCACAUUUCUACCUCUGUGAAUUGGUUUUGGAGCACAGUCUCAAGCUGCGGUAAGAUUGGGUUUACUAGCGUAGAUUACAGUGUUGUCUGCAUACAUGUGUACAGUUGAGGAUUUGCAGACGUUAGGCAGAUCAUUUAUAAAUAAUGUGAAUAGCAGGGGGGCGAGUAUGGAACCUUGGGGAACACCACACGUGGAAGAGGGAGGGAAGUGCUAUCAGAAGUGUCCAUAUAUUGCAAUCGGUUUGAUACAUAUGAUCGAAACCAAGUUAGCGGACGAUCACCAAUACCUGAGUUUUUAAGUUUUUGCAAAUAAAUGCCAUGGUCUACUGUGUCAAAGGCCUUGGCAAAACCAAGGAAAUAGCUCCAGUUAAGUCUCCUUGUUCCAUACCAAUUUGGAUGUCAUUGCAAAUUUUUAAGAGGGCAGUCGAAGUUGAGUGAUUUGGACGAAAGCCUGAUUGAUCAGGGGUCAGAUAAUUUGAUUGUCGAUAAUAUUCACAUAGUUGUGUGUAGACGUAUUUUUCCAAGAUUUUUGACAAUACUGGGAGCAAUGAUAUUGGGCAAUAGUUAGAUACCAAAGUAUUGUCACCACUUUUAUGGAUAGGUAUUACUUUUACAAAUUAAAUUAAAAAAAUGUUUUUUUAAAAAGUUAAAAAUAAUAAAACAUUUCACAUGUUGGGUGCAUAUUACACUUUUUAAAUCUUCCUUUUUUUGUUUUCUUUUUGUCAUCCAAUAUAACAGCUUCCAUUAGAUCAAGUUGUUUUAUUGAGUCCAGUGUUGCUUUAAUAGAAAAGUUAGACCUAUUGCCUGGGGUCUGCAGGGCGCUGUUCCCCACCUCCACCUCUGCUUAGUGAGAGUCGAAUAAGUGUAAUAUGACAUAAGAAUAUCUAGCAAAAACAUUAUGUGAAAACAUUAACAAAAAAAAAAAAUUAUUUCUGUUUUCUUCUGUCUGCUCAGCAGAAUUGCUUACAGGAGAAAUAUGUGCCCAUGUGAAUCUUAACAUUUGGCAGUUAUCAUGGAAUUAAUUAUAAUGUAUUUAUUUUUUUAUAAAAUUGUCAGCACAACUUAAUUACAUAGUUACAUAGCUGAAAAGAGACGUGUCCAUCAAGUUCAGCCUUCCUCACAUAUGUGUUUGCUGUAGAUCCAAAAAAGCGCCUCCAAUUUUGCAACAAACUAGGAAAAAAUUCCUUAUUGACCCCAAAACAGCAAUCAGAUAUCUCCUUGGAUCAAGCAACUAUUACCCCACUAAUUAGAAAUUAUAUCCCUGUAUGUUAUGUUUUUGGAAUUAUUUAUCCAAUUGCUGUUUAAACAUCUGUAUAGACUCUGACAAAACCACCUCUUUAGGCAAAGAAUUCCAUAUCCUUAUUGCUGUUACUGUAAAAAAAAAAAAAAAACUUUUCUUUGCCUUCGAUGAAAUCCCCUUUCUUCCAGAAUAAAUGUGUGACCUUGUGUCCUAUGUAUAGCCCUGUUUAUGAAUAGAUUUCCAGAUAAUGGUUUGUACCGGCCCCAAAUAUAUUUGUAUAAUGUUAUCAUAUCCCCUCUGAGGUGCCGUUUUUCCAAACUAAAGACAUUAAAACAUUUUAACCCUUCUUCGUAACUAAAAUGCUCCAUUCCUUUUUAUCAAUUUUGUAGUUUGUCGCAGCACUUUUUCUAGUGCCAUGAUCUCCUUCUUUAGAACAGGUGCCCAAAAUUACACAGCAUAUUCAAGGUGUGGUCUUACCAGUGAUUUAUAAAGAGGCAAAAUUAUAUUUUCAUCCUGAGAAUUUAUGCCCCUAUUUAUACAUGACAAAACCUUACUGGCCUUAGCAACUGCAGAUUGACAUUGCAUAUUGUUGCCUAAUUUAAACAUAGAAACAUAGAAUGCCUGAGAGCUACAUUGAUUUUUGAUACAGCCUGUUUUAACAGUCAAAGUGUGAGUGAUCCAUUGGCACAUAUCACUAUAAUAAUAGUAUCAUACGGAGUUGCACUAUGUUUUUUUUUUUAUUCCCCUAUAGUUGGAUUGACCCAAUAUUUGUAUCUAUGUUUCAAUGCCUAUUGCAAGAUCAUUGAUAAAUAUGUUAAAUAGAAGCAGUCCCAAAUAGAACCCUGAGGGACACUUUUGUCCAGCCUUAAAAUUUACCAUUAAUGACAACUCCUUGUACUCUAUCCUUAAGCCAUUGUUCUACCCAAGAACAAGAAUAUUCACUUAUACCAAUUUCUUUUAGUUUGAAGACUAACCUAUUGUGAGGAACCAUAUCAAAUGCCUUGGCAAAAUCUAAGUAGAUCACAUCUACUGCAACUCCCUGAUCUAUACUUCUACUUACUUCUUUGUAGAAUGCAAUUAGGUUAGUUUGAUAUGACCUAUGUUUUAUAAAACCAUGCCGAUUAUUGCUAAUAAAGUUUUUCCCAAUGAAUUCCUGAAUAUUAUCCCUUAAUAGACUUUCAAAUAUUUUCCCAGUAACAGAAGUUAAACUUAAAUGUCUAUAAUUUCCAGGCAAGGAUUUUAAACCCUUUUUAAAUAUAGGAACAACAUCUGCCUUCCUCUAAACCUCUGGUCGAAUACCUGAAACAAAAGAAUCUUGAAAGAUUAAAUACAGAGGUUCACUUAUGUCUACACUUGGCUCCUUAAGUACUCGUGGGUGAAUACUGUCAGGCCCCGGAGCUUUAUUUACAUUAAUUCUCUUUAACUGCUCUAGCAACUUGGAGUCAUCCAAUCACAAGUUAUCUGCAAGUUAUUUGCAGCAAUCAUUUGCAUAUAUCUUGCCAUAGGAUCCUCAUUAAUAUAUCCUGAAGAAAAAUAGAUAUUUAAAAUUUCUGCCUUUUCCUGGUCUUCAUUAACUAACAGACCCAUCUCUGUUUCCAGUGUACCUACACUUUCAUUUUUUGUUUUUUUAGAAUUUAUGUACUUGAAAAAAAAUUGGGGGUUGGUUUUGCAUUCUUUGGCUAUCAAUUUCUAAUUUUCUAGUUUAGUCACUUAAAUUGCCUUUUUGCAAGCAUUAAUUGACUUCCUUAUAUCUUAUAUAGGAUGCCUCUGAUUUGUCUGAUUUAAAUGCCAAUUUCUUAUUUUUAAUCUCGUUUUACUUCUCUACUAAGCCACAUUGGUUUCAGUUUGUUUCUUUUAUAUUUAUUACCCAAUGGCACAUACUGAGAAAUGUACCUUUCUAAUAUUUGUUUGAAUAGUUUCCAUUUAUCCUCAGUGUUUUUUUCACUAAGGAGUUUAUGCCAGUCGAUAUGUUGUAGAGCUGCCCUAAUCUUAUUGAAAUUGGUUUUUAUCACUAGCAGGCACACACACAAUCUCACUCACUAGCAGGCACACUAGCAGGCACACACACACGCAAGCUCGCUCACUAGCAGGCACACACAGGGCUGAACUGGGGAUACAAAGCAGCCCUGGAAAAAAAAAAAAUCUAUGCCAGCCCCAUAAGUCAUUGCGCCAUAUAUUAAACAAGAGGGGGUUGGCUGCACUCACCUUAACAUGCAUAAAUGGGGGUGCUGCUGGGGGCCAAAUAAUACAAUACACAAGAUCCAGCGCACUCACCUACCACUAAACAGCAACUUCAAUGUUGAAAGAUUUUAUUUGUUUUUUUUAAAACACCUAAUCUAGGCAAAAAUAAUGGGGGUUUAGUUACAUUAUAUGAUCAUACAGUGCAUAAGCCUGCCACAACGUCAAUGUACCCCAUCUUUGGCAGGUCCUACACUAACAGCCUAAUGUCUGCUCUUAUGAGAUUAACCUACUUGGGGAAAGAAAUUCCAUCUGGGGCUCUCUGCAGUACAAGGCUAAAUAGGGCCCUGGGAUGAGGCACCUGUGACAGGGAGGGGUGCAAAACCAAGGAGUUGGCUGGACUCCCAAAUAUAUAUAAAACAAGAGGGGGUUGGCUGCACUCACCUUAACAUGCAUAAAUGGGGGUGCUGCUGGGGGCCAAAUAAUACAAUACACAAGAUCCAGCGCACUCACCUAUUCACUAAACAGCAACUUCAAUUGUCGCAUGUAAUAUGUAAGGCAAUGUCUUGCCACCCCAGAUGAUUGAGUAAUAUAUAUAUCUAUAUAUCAAAUAUAUAUUGCUUUUUCUAAUACAAAAUAUUGGUCCUUUCAGAGUAAAACAUUUAAUUAUACAGUAAGCAUACCCACAUGCAGACACAGACAAUCUCAUUGACACACACAAGCUCAUUGAUACACAGCCUCAUAGACAAACAAUCUCACUGAUAUACAUAAGCUCAUUGGCAUAAAAACACAAGCUCACUCACUAGCAGGCACACACACACACGCAAGCAAACUCACUAGCAGGCGCACGCACGCGCACGGCUUAAUGUAGUGGUUCUGGUGUCUACAGCCUGUCCCUGCAGGCUUUUCAAUGUAAACACUGACUUUUCAGAGAAAUGGCAGUGUUUAUAUUGCUUCCUAGUGACACCUCUAGUGACAGUCAAUCAGACGGUCACUAGAGGUGCUUCCUGUGUCAGUGCUGCACAGUGUGCAGCACCUACAUUCAGGGCCUCCACGCUCUGGAGGCGCUGAACGUUCCCCAUAGAGAUACAUUGAUUCAAUGCAUCUCUAUGAGUAGAUGCUGAUUGGUGUAGUGUUUUGCAGCCAAUCCUAUAAUUAGAUUGGCUGAGAGCAUCAAGCUUGAUGAUCUCAGCCAUAGAGGCAGGGCCAGUCAAGGUAUACCAACACAGCGAGGGGAGAAAAAAAAGUGAGUAAAAACACUAUUUUUACACACACACAUAUACUAUGACAGACACAUACCAUGAGACACACACACCAUGACAGACAGACGCACAUACACAACACAGACAGACCAUGACACAAACACACACCAUGACAGAGAGACAUACACACAAUGACAAACACACACACACCAUGACACAGACACACCUUGACACAGACACACACACCAUGACACAGACAGACCAUGAAACAGACACACACACAUACACUCACAGUGACAGAAUGACACAUAUUACCUGUGGGCAACCGGCCAGGGGGUCAUGCAGGGCAGACAGCUGGGUGUGCUGGUGGCUGCUGGGGGAGCUCUGACGGCGGCAUACAGGGGGAGCUGCCCAGCGCGCAGCUUAAUGAAACCUCAUUAAGUAGCACGCAAGGGUGGGGGACCAAAGACAGCACAACUCCACCAGCGGCUGCCAUCAGAGAUCCCCCUGCAGCUGCCAGUAACAUAGAAACAUAGAAUGUGACGGCAGAUAAGAACCAUUCUGCCCCAUUUUCUAAAUACUUUUAUUAGUCCCUAGCUUUAUGUUAUAGUUAGGAUAGCCUUAUGCCUAUCCCACGCAUGCUUAAAACCUUUACUGUGUUAACCUCUACCACUUCAGCUGGAAGGCUAUUCCAUGCAUCCACUACCUUCUCAGUAAAGUAAUACUUCCUGAUAUUUUUAAACCUUUGUCCCUCUAAUUUAAGACUAUGUCCUCUUGUUGUGGUAGUUUUUCUUCUUUUAAAUAUAGUCUCCUCCUUUACUGUGUUGAUUCCCUUUAUAUAUUUAAAUGUUUCUAUCAUAUCCCCCCUGUCUCGUCUUUCCUCCAAGCUAUACAUGUUAAGAUCCUUUAACCUUUCCUGGUAAGUUUUAUCCCGCAAUCCAUGAACCAGUUUAGUAACCCUUCUCUGAACCCUCUCUAAGGUAUCAAUAUCCUUCUGAAGAUACGGUCUCCAGUACUGUGUACAAUACUCCAAGUGAGGUCUCACCGUGUUCUGUACAAUGGCAUGAGCACUUCCCUCUUUCUACUGCUAAUACCUCUCCCUAUACAACCAAGCAUUCUGCUAGCAUUUCCUGCUGCUCUAUUACAUUGUCUGCCUACCUUUAAGUCAUCAGAAAUAAUCACCCCUAAAUCCCUUUCCUCAUAUGUUGAGGUUAGGACUCUAUCAAAUAUUCUGUACUCUGCCCUUGGGUUUUUACGUCCAAGAUGCAUUAUCUUGCACUUAUCCACAUUAAAUGUCAGUUGCCACAAUUCUGACCAUUUUUCUAGUUUACCUAAAUCAUUUGCCAUUUGGCUUUUCCCUCCUGGGACAUCAACACUGUUACAUAUCUUAGUAUCAUCAGCAAAAAGACAUACCUUACCAUCAAGACCUUCUGCAAUAUCACUAAUAAAAAUAUUAAAGAGAAUGGGUCCAAGUACAGAUCCCUGAGGUACCCCACUGGUGACAAGUCCAAGCUUCGAAUAUAUUCCAUUAACUACAACCCUCUGUUGCCUGUCACUCAGCCACUGCCUUACCCAUUCAACAAUAUUGAAAUCCAAACUUAAAGAUUGCAGUUUAUUGAUAAGCCUUCUAUGUGCAACAGUGUCAAAAGCCUUACUGAAAUCUAGGUAAGCAAUGUCUACUGCACCACCCUGAUCUAUAAUUUUAGUUACCCAAUCAAAAAAAUCAAUAAGAUUAGUUUGGCAUGAUCUCCCUGAAGUAAACCCAUGUUGUCUCUGAUCUUGAAAUCCAUGUGUUUUUAGAUGUUCAUCAAUCCUAUCCUUUAACAUGGUUUCCAUCACUUUCCCCACUACUGAAGUAAGGCUUACUGGCCUAUAGUUGCCCGACUCCUCCCUAUUACCUUUCUUGUAAAUGGGCACAACAUUCGCUAACUUCCAAUCUUCUGGGACUACUCCUGUUAACAAUGAUUGGUUAAAUAAAUCUGUUAAUGGUUUUGCUAGUACACCACUAAGCUCUUUUAAUAGCUUUGGGUGUAUUCCAUCAGGUCCCAUUGACUUAUUUGUCUUUACUUUUGACAGUUGAAAUAGAACCUCUUCCUCUGUAAACUCACGUGUAAUAAAUGACUCAUUUAUCCUUUUUCUCAACUGAGGUCCCUUUCCUUCAUUUUCAUCUGUAAAUACAGAACAAAAAUAUUCAUUGAGGCAGUCAGCUAGACCUUUAUCAUCUUCUACAUACCUUCCUUCUUUUGUUUUUAAUCUAACUAAUCCUUGUUUUACUUUUCUUUUCUCAUUUAUGUAUCUAAAAAAUGUUUUAUCCCCCUUUUUUACUGACUGUGCUAUUUUCUCUUCUGUGUGUGAUUUUGAAGCUCUUAUAACUUGCUUAGCCUCUUUCUGCCUAAUCGUACAGAUCAUUUUGUUUUCCUUACUCUGGUUUUUUUUUAUAAUUCCUAAAUGCUAACUUUUUGUUUUUAACUAUUUUGGCCACAUCUAUGGAGUACCACAGUGGUUUCUUGAAUUUUGUUGCUUUUACUGACAAGCCUAAUGCAAUUUUCUGUUGCCUUCAAAAGUGCAACUUUUAAAUAAUCCCAUUUCUCUUGGACUCCAUUUAAAUUGCUCCAGCCUGAUAAUGACUCCUCUACCCAUAUUCUAAUUUUAGAAAAGUCUGUAUUUCUAAAGUCUAAAACUUUUGUUUUUGUGUGGUGUGACUCGUCACUGUUCUUAUAUUAAACCACACUGACUGAUAAUCACUGGAUCCUAAACUUUCACCUACAGUAAUAUCUGAUACCAAAUCUCCAUUUGUUAACACUAAAUCUAGUAUGGCCUCUUUACGAGUUGGCUCCUCAACAACUUGUUUUAGAGACAAUCCCAGUAGGGAGUUUAGAAUAUGUGUGCUCCUGGCACAAGUAGCUAAUUUUGUUUUCCAAUUUACAUCAGGAAGAUUAAAGUCACCCAUGAUGAUAACUUCCCCCUUCAUUGUCAUUUUAGCUAUUUCCUCAACUAGUAGAUUAUCUAACUCUUCAAUUUGUCCUGGGGACCUAUAAAUCACACCUACACGAGUUACUGUGUGAUUACCAAAUUCUAACGUAACCCAAACGGACUCUAUGUUUGCCUCACUAACUUUUAUUAGGCUAGAUUUUAUGCUAUCCUUCACAUACAAGGCCACCCCUCCCCCUUUCUUGCCUUCCCUAUCUUUCCUAUAUAAAGAGUACCCUGGUAUUGCUAUGUCCCAGUCAUUUUUCUCAUUGUACCAAGUCUCAGUAACAGCGACUAAAUCUACACUAUCAGUUGCCAUUAUUGCCACAAGUUCAUGGAUCUUAUUCCCUAAACUGUGAGCAUUUGUAGACAUGACUCUAAGCUUAUCAUUUUUUUUAACACACUUGCUACAGGCACCUUCUGUUCUUGUUUUGGGGGACAAUUGGAUUGAUGUUUUAUCGCCCUUUCCCCCCCACCCCCUAGUUUAAAUACAUCCUAGCAAAACCUCUGAACUGCUCACUGAGAAAAAAAAUUCCCUUUUGAGAAAGAUGCAAACCAUCUUUUUUGUACAGCUUACCUCCAUUCAAAACAGAACUACCAUGAGAAAUAAAGCCAAAUCCUUGCUCCCGACACCAUUCACCAAGCCCCAAAUUAAAGUCCCUAAUACGCAUCCGCCUGUCGUUCUGAAUGUUAUGCACAGGCAGAACUUCAGAGAAUGACAGUGUCGAAGCAACCUGCCCUAUAUCAUUGGCAAAAACACUAAAAACGUCCUUAACCUCUGAAACCUCAUUGCAAGCCAAGUCAUUUGUCCCUAGAUGGACAAGUACAUCCAAUUCCCCUUCCUGCUUUGCUUGCUUAACAAUAUUACAGAUAUGUCUCCUGUCUCUGUUAGCAGUAGCUCCGGGAAGACACCUCACAAGACCACCAUUGUCCAUCUCCACACCUCUUAUAAUGGAAUCCCCCAACAACAACUGCUUUCUAGUAGGCCUUACCAUAGUCUCCAAGCCGGUCUCCACAACACCACUAGCCUCAGUGCCUCUCUCCACAACACCACUAGCCUCAGUGCCUCUCUCCACAAUACCACUAGCAUCAGUGCCUCUCUCCACAAUACCAAUAGCCUCAGUGCCUCUCUCCACAACACCACUAGCCUCAGUGCCUCUCUCCACAACACCAUUACACUCUGAAAGUGCUGAAAAUGAAUUAUGAAAAGUAACAGACUGUGCAAAAUGCCUUUUAUCCACAACUCUAAGUCUACCAGAUCCUACAGUAAUCCAUCUGCCAUUCCUAGUACACCUAGGUGUCUGCCUGGCACCAGGUGCCAAAGACCCACCGGGAAAUUUCCCGGUAUCCCAGUGGGCCAGUCCGACCCUGCACACAAGCUCACUCACUAGCAGGCACACACACACACAAGCUUACUCACUAGCAGCCACACACACACAAGCUUACUCAUUAGCAGGUGCACACACACACACACACACACACACACAAGCUCACUCACUAGCAGGCGCACACACACACAAGAUCACUCACUAGCAGGCACACACAUAAUCACUGUCAUGGCUAAAGCUUACCUGGCACUGCUAGGUGAAGUUGCCAUUUUGUGGCUCUUCUUUCCAGCGAGGUCAGCAAUGUGCAUGGAGGCAGGACUUGCAUGUGGGAGGCUGAGCUCUGCUCAGGAGGUGGGGCUUGUGUGCAGGGGUGGGACAUGCAGUCGAAAUUGCUGUCAAUUUUGUAGGGAGACAUGGGACCAUGCCUGCGAUCGGUUAAAUAAGUGACUUCCAGGAAUUUCCUGAACCCCUGAACUGAUCUGGGUAAAUUUUUGGAUAUGUUGGUCACUUUUGGGAAAAGUAUGUUUUUUCUGCUCUUGGAGAUAAUUGGAUUAGAAUUAGUACAGUUACUGAUCCAAUUAUUUCCCAGACAGAGGGGAGGGAUUGUGUGCUAUGUGUGGGAGUGUGGUGAUUUGUAACCUUAUUGUUAUUGGUCUGUGAUGUUGUAAAUCAGUCCACCAUCAGGUCCAUGUGGGCGUACCCCUUGCAUGGGGAUUGUCAUAUAAGGCCAAGUGUGGCACCAUUAAAAUCUGUUCCAGCUUACACUCCAAAACGGUGUGUCAUCCUUUUAUUGCAGGGAAAGAAGAUUUACUCCUGUGUCUGCUGUUCCAACUUGCAGGGGAUUCAAUGGGAAUAUUCCUUGUAAGGACUAGAGCUCCCAGGACUGAGUGUUGUCCUGUGUCUGGGGGUGUCUAGAGCGAAUUCCCCAUUGGGCUCCAGGAAGGAGCAGUUACAGGGUCCCAGUCAAGCCACGGCGACUGUGGGCAGAAGUGCUGCGGUUUGUCGCCUGUUCCAGCUAGGAAGCGGUCCUUGGCGGAGGUAGCCAGCCAGGGGCACAGGGAACUCCGUUACAACUCCCCUCAACUGACACAGGCUGGCCCAGUCCGAGGGGAAAAUCAUUUAAAUUACAAGAGCAUGAUGAUUUGGGCUGUCUGCCCGGCUCCAGGUGCCGCAGCACACCAGGAAAUUCCCCACUAUCCCGGUGGGGCAGUCCGGCCCUGAUAGUGCCAACAUAUUCCACAGCACUUUACAAUUAUAAACUGGGGAUAUUUGACAAGUACUUAACGUAUGGAAAACAACAGGGACAAGAAGUGAUGAGGCUCUGUUCAAAUGAUCUUACAAUCUAUGAGGAAUGGUUAGACACCCAAGAGAAAUAACAGCACGUUGGAGGGGAUAGGGAUUGAUGGAUAAGGUGCCUGUGCUGAAAUAAGAAAGUAAAAGUGGUGCUUGGAAGAACCAAACAGAAAGACAGAGAUUGCGCUGAGCAUGAACAAGUUGUAUCUUUAGUUAGAAAGAGGUGAAUGCUAAUAAUAUUUUUAAGGUGAAAGCUACAGGAUUUGGAGUCAGACUGGAUGUGAGGAGAAAAGGUUAGACCCAAGUUGAAAGUAACACCAAGUUAGCAAGCUUGAGGGGUUGGUGUAAUAGGUGAUGCAGGGAAAUUGAAGGAGGAGGGCUGUUUGGUAUAGGAAAAAUUAGGAGUUCAGUCUUAGAAAGAUUACAUUUUAGAAAACAGAAAGACAAACCCUAAUUUGUAGCUUGUGUUUCACCAGUUAAAAAUUGAGCCAGUCUUAUAGCCCAGUUACCUUUAUGCCAUUGGGCCAGGUUUUCAAAUCUCUCAAAUGCUGUCAGAUAUGCUUUGGGAUCAUCCUUUCGUCCCAUCUUAGGGCACUGGAAAAGGGCUCCUUGGCAGAGCCUUCUGCAUUGACUAGUUCCCUGGGGCACUCCAUAAGCUGAUGCACUAGUUCAUUUUGGAAAUAUUGCUGUAUAGCUGUAUAUUGCUGGAUGGAUUGCAUCUGCUAAGAACAACAUUGGGUGAAAGUAACUCUACCUGCAAUGUAUGUUAUGUGCACUGGUGUGGUGGGCUCCCUUUCCGGCCAGGCCCUCGUACCAUGUCCGAAGUGCCCGACCAGUCAGUCCACCCCUGGCUGCAAUUGUUGAAGUUGGAACUCCUGUUGCCUUUGCGGUUGUUCUGGGAUGCACUUCAAUAGCCUUUGCAAUUCCAUUUUCCUAGUAAAACAAAAAUCCUAGUGUAGACUACCUGCAAUUUGCACACACAAAUUAAGCCCUAGUUACUGCUGCAGCAUGUACUAAUUAGCUAAUUUGCAGUCUUAGGCUGACAAACUCCUGCAAAUUAAAGUGACACUUCAGACACCUAAAGCACUUUAGAAAAUAGCGGUGCCCACAAGGGUCAGGUUCAGGUAAGUAAAUCUCUAAGUCAUGGUCAACUAUGGUAAAAUCCAAAAUCAAGCUUGCUUAUUGCCUGCCAUGUUCAAUCACAGGCUUCCCACCAACACCCCAGUGUAAGAGAAAAGAAACACUAUAGGCACCAGAACCCUUAUAGCUUAAUGUAGUAGUUCUACAUGUCUUUCUAUGCAGUCGCAGAGAAAAGACAGUGUUUACAUUGCUAACACCAUCUCAAAAGACGGUCACUCAAACAGCCAUUAGAGGGGCUUCCUAGUUUUGGUCCUUCAGAUGUCACAGAACCAAUGUCCUGCAUUUCCACACUCUGCCUAUAGAGAUGCAUUGACUCAUUGCACCUCUAUGAGGGGAUCCUGAUUGGUCACAGCAUGGUGAUUGAUGCACAUGCACACUAGCUCCUAAAUGCUUCCCGAUGAGGAAUUAUUGGAGAUAAUUGUAAGGAAACCAAGUAUAUUUAAACCUCAUUCGGUAGUUUCCUCCCGAACCACCAGAGCCUUAGUGAUUAUAGCCCUCCAUUCUGUAGAUAGGGUAGACAAAUCCUAUAGCAAUUCCAAUAGCUUCACAAGAUAAUUCCCUUAGUGAAAAAAACGAAUCCCCAAACAUCAACCAAAGUCAAGAAAAAGGGUACAAAAUGAACUAACUUUUAAUGGGUGCACACAGCUUUUCUGCAAGUCCCCAUGCAAGGGGACAGUCCUCAGGGAGGGACAAACAUUAACCAAUCACAUACAGUAAAACUUUAACACACACCUACAAUUUCCUCCCCUAGCCCAGGAGAUAAUUCAGUCUGAUAAAAUAGUAACUUAAUUAUCUCCGGGCUGAAAAAUCACCUUUUCCCCCCAAUAUCUAGAACACCCCUUUAUACUGGGGGUAUCCCCUGAUAGCCCUGAUCUGGGUGACCAACAUAUCCGAAUUUCACCCAGAUCGGUUCAGGGGUUCGCAAAAUUUAUGGAAGUCUCUUGUGACCGGCUCACCCUGGACUGUAUGCCCAAAACAGUUCCAUGACUUUGGUGGGUUUUGCCGGUCACUUUCGAAAAAGCAUAAAAACGAAUAAAAUACCGAAUGGAUCCCUCUGGCUCCUAGCAGCGUUCGUGCCCCUCUGUCUAAUACACCAAAGUACAGAAUAGCGCACUUCUAGCUAUUUGGUAAAUGGAGUUCCAGCGUUCGUCUGUUUGGGACCGGUGUUCGGGAAGUCAAGUGUCUGUUUUUAGUUCCAUGCACUCGACGACCAGGUCCCGCUGCCUUUGUUCGCAUGAACAAAGAUGGCCGCGGUUUUCUCUGCCACGUGGCGUUCGACUGACAAACGCUGGCCGCACAUACAGAGUUAGCAAUUUCACCCAAACUUUGAUGUUUAAUGAGCCAGAGGGGUGGUCUUUGUUCGGUAGUUCCAUCUACCGAAUGCAAUAGGCAGAAAGGGAGAUAAAAAGGGAAUGCAAUGGGUAAAUAACAUAGGAAACAGGGGGUUUCUUCACAAUAAUCAAUAGGAUAAAUUCAAUAUUAUAGUCUAGAAUUCUAAAAUAAAAUAAAAAAUCAUAUUAAAUCUAACUCCCUUUUAAUUCACAAACACCAUAUUGUUAAUGUUCUCUGCUGGUGCAAAGAGCAUUAUUUACUUCUAUGAUAACAGAUUUUAACUCUUUAGUGUAACAAAUCUGAAAGAUGUCUAAGACCCAGUUGAGAUGCUAGGCACAGAAUAAAUGUAUCCUAUCAAGGCAGAAAUGCUUCCUUGCAAAGAAUUUUUUAUUACACUUCAUAUAUAAUGAAUAACAUGACAAGUGUCAAACACAAAUUACAUUUCCGAGCUAAAGAAAGCAAGCUGCUUCAUUUCAUUGUGACCAUGGUAGCAAGCUGUAAGGAAUUAAUUGCUUAAUCUACUAACACAGAUUGUGAACAUUGUAUCACAUAUAUUGAGCUAUCAAUGCCAAUUAUAUACUGGUCUGCAGCACAAUAAUAAAGUACACAGCCCACCUUCUCCUGGAGCAAAAGGUGAAAAGGUCUUUUUUUCCACUGCUCUAUUCAAAAUAAUAUAUGAAUUAUUAUGUUUUAUGUUACACAGAAGAGCUAGAGAAGUUUGUUGGAAGUAUAUGUUUUUAUAUAAUGUGACAAUAUAAUCUAUCUCAAGUUGAUUAGUGUUAUUAGCAUUGCUUCUCUGAACAGUCCUAUUUUUAUGUUAGUUUGCAAGCAACCAAGCUGGAUUUCCAAAACUCCUUACAAAGACAGAGUUUACAUGUUUCUUGAGUUUAAAUAGUGAUCGAUCCAUUUCUAACAGUUUUCAGCAAAGAUAAUAAAAUGGUCCUAUAUCAUGGAAGUCACUAGAGAAAUUGUGAUGGGGAAGCUCAGUUCCUACAAAUACCAUCAUCAAGGGGCAUUACUAGGGUCAAAAAACACCCAGGGCUUUAGCCAAAGAAUUAUUUGUUUAGCCCACUGUAACGGAUCACCUGGCACCUCGACUGGGUACCUCCGUUGAUAGAUGCUCCUAGCGCUUCUUGAGGAUUCCAAGCACUCUAGCCGACACCACAAACACCGCAGGCCAAACCUCUCUUCCUUCAGAGCGAAGCAGGAACGAGAUCUUAAAAGAGCUUAGGAGUGAUUAUAGCAAGGGAAUAUGCAUAGCAUAGCAAUCCCUUGUAGCAGAUUCCCUCAAAAAGAGACAGGACUCCAAAUUGAGGGUGAAGUAGAACUGUCUAAAACUUUAUUUUACUUGGGACUAGCCCAUAUGGUCAUUACAUUAAAAUUGCUGUGAAAACUCAAUAAAAUUACAAACAGUCAAAUCAUAGCAGGCAACAUACAGUGACUUAUUAUAACAUAAUUACAUAUUUAUAAUUGGGUGGGGAAGAUCAUAAUUAACACAAAAUGUCUCUCCUGCAUGCAGAAUUAGCAAUAUGCAAAUCUACCCGAAUAUGCAAAUUACCAGUCUUGCUAUUCAAGUAGUGCAUAUUACUGUUGCUACCAACAGAGGGCACUACACAAGCUCCAUAGUCAAAUCCACCUAGUUGGUAGCAAUCCUCAGCAGUACAGGAGAGCAGUCAAUACAUCCCAGGGGCCAUAGUCACAUGGCAGGAGGCUGGCAAUCAGUCUUCUCCAAUGCCCAGUGGCGAGGCUGGUUCCACCACACCCACCUUCUAAACCCCCGAUUCCCACCGCUUCUCUCUGACACACACACUCUCUCUCUCUCUGCCCUAUGAAUUCAUAUGUGAAAAGUACAUUUGAAGUAUAUUCCUAUUGAUAUUUUAAUUUUUUUAGUUCACCUAGGUGACUAGAAAACGGAAAUUGUUUAACCAUAACUUCCUGUUUCAUCGGGGUAUAAAUAAGAGGCAACAUAUUGGCCAAAUUCCCUUAGUCAUUCAUCACAAUGGUUAAGACCAAGGAAUGUAACUGAUGUUUGGCAAAUGGUUGCUAGGCUUCACAAAAUGGGAAGUGGCUAUCAGAAAGCCACUUGUUUGAAAUUGUUUGAUAUCCAUGAGAGAGGAGAAUUUUACCACAUGACAGGAGGCUUCAUAUUUUGCAUAAACUUCCUUUACUUACUCCAUAGCAGUAAAGAAUAGAAAAAACUAAAACCAGAUGUAAGGAUAAGAAAUAAGAUCAGAUGUAAGGAUAACAUUUAAGAAGCCUCUCUCCUAAAGGCACUUCCUCUUUCUUUGCUGCUCCAUCACAAGUCGGGUCAGAGUAUUUUGUUCUUACAUUAUCUUUGACUUGGUUAUUGUAUUUCAUAAUUUUAUUCUAUUAUUAUUUAAUCUCUAUAUUACUUUUAGCUAUAAUGUUUUUCUGUAAUAACUAUCUAAUUUGGGGCCUUAGAGAAAUUGGGUUUGGGGAUUAUCCAGCCCAUGGUGCCUUGGGGGUUCACCAGUCACCUUCAGGUGUCUCUCCCCUCCCCCCCUUUUCUUUUGCUUGGGUCACCCUCCUUCCCUUCCUGCCCCCCUUCUUUGUUACCCUUAGGUUAAACCCACCCAUCACUCGGAGACCGGCUUAUUAAACAGUCACCACCGAGUGACGGGAAUACUACCUUUCGUGGAUACGUUCGCCACUCCUUUCCUGAUGCUUUUGUGAAGUUGAAUGCUGAUACAGCAUAAAACUCUGUGUUCGCGCACAAUCCUAAUUCGCAUUUAUGACUUUAUUCGCUAGCCGAAUGCAACUUUGUUUGCAUAAGGCUUAGUUUCCUUUUGGGUUGCUUGGUUGGCCACGUUCACGUCUGGCGUUUGGCAGUUUCGACUCCAUUUGCAUUCUUCCACCGAAUGUUCGGUACCUGAUUCCUACGUUUUUUUUUUCAUUUGUAUGUGUGUUAGAACCAUUCGCAUAUUUUGUUAGUGUUCGGUUCUUUUCAUUCCCGCACUAACAUUUUGCGGGCUUUCCGGUGGCCAUCUUGGAUCUGAUAUUGCGAGAUCUUAGACGGCCAUUUUUUUGUAUGGAGUUUCUCUAGUAUUGUGUUACGACGUUUUGUUUUUUUUGCAGCUCCUGCACUUUACAGUGAUUACCGUGAACCUGUUAUUUCAACUGCUUCAGUUAUCAGCCUCUUGUCAACAUACUGCCUCCAGGGACCAGUUAAGGUUGGUGAUAACUACCUUUGGGUGUGGGACGGUCAGUUAGGUUAUAAUACCCAGUAACACGGUCUGUGGUGAGCCCUCAUAUUUAGUGCUGCCGAACAGGAAUUGUCUAUGCAAUUUCCCUCUUAUCUGGGUGAGCCCCUGAGUGUCACAUACUAGGCCUGUAUACAUAUUUGGCUGACUAGUGCCGUGGUGUCCCCCGUACCGGUCCCUAAGCCUUAUCUGCCUACCGUGUUUCUCCGAAAAUAAGACCGGUCUUAUAUUAAUUUUAGUCACAAAAAACACACUAGGGCUUAUUUUCAGGGUAGGGCUUAGAGCCAGUCUGUCAGCCGGUGUCCGCGCUGUGUAACCCCCCAGAGACCCUCACCUCCCUCCCUCCCUCCCUGUAAUAUUCUCCCCCUCCCUCCCUGUAAUACUCUCCCCCCUCCCUCCCUGUAUUCUCCCCCCUCCUCUAAUAUUCUCCCCGCCUCCCUCCCCAACCUUCGCCUCCUCCUGUCUUCUCCCCUCCCUCCCUCCCUGUAAUAUUCUCCUCCUCCUGUAAUAUUCUCCCCUGCCUCCCCUCCUGUAAUAUUCUCCUCCUCCCUCCCUCCUGUGUGUCUCCUCCUCCUGUAAUAUUCCCCUCCCUCCCUCCUGGCAAUACUCCCCUCUCCCCUCCCUCCAAACCUCUCCCCCCUCUCUCCCUCCUCAACCACUCUCCCCCCCUCCAAUACUCUCCCUCUCCCUCCUGUAAUAUUCUCUCCCCCCUCCCUCCCUGUAAUAUUAUCCCCCCAUCCCUCCCUGUAAUACUCUCCCUCCCUGUAAUAUUCUCCCCCUCCCUGUAAUACUCCCCCUUCUCCCCCCUCCAAUCUUCUCCUCACCUGCUCUUCCCUGUAGCGUGGCCGAGCUCCUCUCCGGUCUGCAACCCGGCCGGACUGACAGGAAGUGCACACCCAGUGUGCACUUCCUGUCAGUCCGGCCGGGUCGCAGACCAGAGAGGAGCUCGGCCACGCUACAGGGAAGGGGAGGUGAGUCAGUGCGGCAGCCGUCUGAGAGCUCUCUAUAGAGAGCUCAGUCGGCUGUGGCAUUUAAAGGGCCGGCAGCCGCCGGCCCUGCCUAGGUCUUAUUUUCGGGGUAGGGCUUAUAUUGCAGCCCACCCCGAUAAUCCAGCUAGGGCUUAUUUUCGGGGUAGGGUGUAUUUUCGGGAAAACAGGGUAGUAAUACACUCAGUAUAUAGGAUAUAAUGAUAUAGUAAUACACUCAGUAUAUAGGAUAUAAUGAUAUAGUAAUACACUCAGUAUAUAGGAUAUAAUGAUAUAGUAAUACACUCAGUAUAUAGGAUAUAAUGAUAUAGUAAUACACUCAGUAUAUAGGAUAUAAUGAUAUAGUAAUACACUCAGUAUAUAGGAUAUAAUGAUAAAGUAAUACACUCAGUAUAUAGGAUAUAAUGAUAUAGUAAUACACUCAGUAUAUAGGAUAUAAUGAUAUAGUAAUACACUCAGUAUAUAGGAUAUAAUGAUAUAGUAAUACACUCAGUGUAUAGGAUAUAAUGAUAUAGUAAUACACUCAGUAUAUAGGAUAUAAUGAUAUAUUAAUACACUCAGUAUAUAGGAUAUAAUGAUAUAUUAAUACACUCAGUAUAUAGGAUAUAAUGAUAUAUUAAUACACUCAGUAUAUAGGAUAUAAUGAUAUAUUAAUACACUCAGUAUAUAGGAUAUAAUGAUAUAGUAAUACACUCAGUAUAUAGGAUAUAAUGAUAUAGUAAUACACUCAGUAUAUAGGAUAUAAUGAUAUAUUAAUACACUCAGUAUAUAGGAUAUAAUGAUAUAGUAAUACACUCAGUAUAUAGGAUAUAAUGAUAUAGUAAUACACUCAGUAUAUAGGAUAUAAUGAUAUAGUAAUACACUCAGUAUAUAGGAUAUAAUGAUAUAUUAAUACACUCAGUAUAUAGGAUAUAAUGAUAUAUUAAUACACUCAGUAUAUAGGAUAUAAUGAUAUAUUAAUACACUCAGUAUAUAGGAUAUAAUGAUAUAUUAAUACACUCAGUAUAUAGGAUAUAAUGAUAUAUUAAUACACUCAGUAUAUAGGAUAUAAUGAUACAGUAAUACACUCAGUAUAUAGGAUAUAAUGAUAUAUUAUUACACUCAGUAUAUAGGAUAUAAUGAUAUAUUAAUACACUCAGUAUAUAGGAUAUAAUGAUAUAUUAAUACACUCAGUAUAUAGGAUAUAAUGAUAUAGUAAUACACUCAGUAUAUAGGAUAUAAUGAUAUAUUAAUACACUCAGUAUAUAGGAUAUAAUGAUAUAUUAAUACACUCAGUAUAUAGGAUAUAAUGAUAUAUUAAUACACUCAGUAUAUAGGAUAUAAUGAUAUAGUAAUACACUCAGUAUAUAGGAUAUAAUGAUAUAUUAAUACACUCAGUAUAUAGGAUAUAAUGAUAUAUUAAUACACUCAGUAUAUAGGAUAUAAUGAUAUAUAAUACACUCAGUAUAUAGGAUAUAAUGAUAUAUUAAUACACUCAGUGUAUAGGAUAUAAUGAUAUAUUAAUACACUCAGUAUAUAGGAUAUAAUGAUAUAUUAAUACAGUCAGUAUAUAGGAUAUAAUGAUACAGUAAUACACUCAGUGUAUAGGAUAUAAUGAUAUAUUAAUACACUCAGUAUAUAGGAUAUAAUGAUAUAUUAAUACAGUCAGUAUAUAGGAUAUAAUGAUAUAUUAAUACACUCAGUAUAUAGGAUAUAAUGAUAUAGUAAUACACUCAGUGUAUAGGAUAUAAUGAUAUAUUAAUACACUCAGUAUAUAGGAUAUAAUGAUAUAUUAAUACAGUCAGUAUAUAGGAUAUAAUGAUACAGUAAUACACUCAGUGUAUAGGAUAUAAUGAUAUAUUAAUACACUCAGUAUAUAGGAUAUAAUGAUAUAUUAAUACAGUCAGUAUAUAGGAUAUAAUGAUAUAUUAAUACACUCAGUAUAUAGGAUAUAAUGAUAUAUUAAUACAGUCAGUAUAUAGGAUAUAAUGAUAUAUUAAUACACUCAGUAUAUAGGAUAUAAUGAUAUAGUAAUACACUCAGUAUAUAGGAUAUAAUGAUAUAUUAAUACACUCAGUAUAUAGGAUAUAAUGAUAUAGUAAUACACUCAGUAUAUAGGAUAUAAUGAUAUAUUAAUACACUCAGUAUAUAGGAUAUAAUGAUACAGUAAUACACUCAGUGUAUAGGAUAUAAUGAUAUAGUAAUACACUCAGUAUAUAGGAUAUAAUGAUAUAGUAAUACACUCAGUAUAUAGGAUAUAAUGAUAUAGUAAUACACUCAGUAUAUAGGAUAUAAUGAUAUAUUAAUACACUCAGUAUAUAGGAUAUAAUGAUACAGUAAUACACUCAGUAUAUAGGAUAUAAUGAUAUAUUAUUACACUCAGUAUAUAGGAUAUAAUGAUACAGUAAUACACUCAGUAUAUAGGAUAUAAUGAUAUAGUAAUACACUCAGUAUAUAGGAUAUAAUGAUAUAGUAAUACACUCAGUAUAUAGGAUAUAAUGAUAUAUUAAUACACUCAGUAUAUAGGAUAUAAUGAUAUAUUAAUACACUCAGUAUAUAGGAUAUAAUGAUAUAGUAAUACACUCAGUAUAUAGGAUAUAAUGAUAUAGUAAUACACUCAGUAUAUAGGAUAUAAUGAUAUAUUAAUACACUCAGUAUAUAGGAUAUAAUGAUAUAUUAAUACACUCAGUAUAUAGGAUAUAAUGAUAUAGUAAUACACUCAGUAUAUAGGAUAUAAUGAUAUAGUAAUACACUCAGUAUAUAGGAUAUAAUGAUAUAUUAAUACACUCAGUGUAUAGGAUAUAAUGAUAUAUUAAUACACUCAGUAUAUAGGAUAUAAUGAUAUAUUAAUACAGUCAGUAUAUAGGAUAUAAUNNNNNNNNNNNNNNNNNNNNNNNNNNNNNNNNNNNNNNNNNNNNNNNNNNNNNNNNNNNNNNNNNNNNNNNNNNNNNNNNNNNNNNNNNNNNNNNNNNNNCCUCCCUGUAAUACUUCCCCCCUCCAAUCUUCUCCUCACCUGCUCUCCCUGUAGCGUGUGCACUCCUCAGUCCGGCCCGCGGACCGGAGAGGAGCUCGGCCACGCUACAGGGAAGGGGAGGUGAGGCAGUGCGGCAGCCGUCUGAGCGCUCUCUAUAGAGCGUUCAGUCGGCUGUGGCAUUUAAAGGGCCGGUCCUGCCUAGGUCUUAUUUUCGGGGUAGGGCUUAUAUUGCAGCCCACCCCGAUAAUCCAGCUAGGGCUUAUUUUCGGGGUAGGUCUUAUUUUCGGGAAAACACGGUACCUAUAUUAGCCGAUCCAUAUAAUUUUUCCACUAUAUUUGGGUGAGCCCCAAUUUACAAAGGUAUCUAAUGAAACAUAACAUGAAGGAUCCACAGUUUCCCAAUGACUUGCAAGCCCUAAUUAAUGCUGCUAUUACCGCUACACUAGAAAAAGCCUUGGCCAAGGCCUUGAAACAGUCAUCCAAAUGCGCUUAAUAUAAAGAGGCGUCGGAAGAUUCAGAUUCCUCAAAGGAACAACCCUGCCCAGCUAAACACCACUGGAAGGGUGAGGGAUCUUAGAUGGGCCCAUCUAAGUGCAAAGCCCUAUUGAAACGUGAGAAACAAGCAUGUUCAAUACCCCAACCAAUACUUGACCUUUCCUCGAACGAAGAACAGGACGUACCUCCUUCCCUUUCCAUUCUAGACUAAUGGCAGGUGGAUGCUUUUGACACGGAAGAAAAUUUAUGGGAACCAAACUCAUAUAUUAGUGAAACAUUUCUAGGUGAGCCUCAGGCAUUGGAGGGUACGUAUCCUUCGGUUGCCACCGGACAACCUGAUGAGAUAUUCCUUGACACUACAGGGCAACUUAUUUUUGACCCUAGGAACAUAUGACACCCCCGCUCCGAGGACUGGACACCCCAGAACACCUGAUGCAUUUCAUGCACUUCUGGUUCAGAAAAUCACUGGACAAGAAGGUACGGAAAAGGCUGCGUUCCGAAUGCCUCAGUCCCUUUCUCCCGGAUAAAGUGGCAUUUACACCAGAUUUUGAACAGGCAAACAUUUUGGUGAGGCAUUCCUAAAAGAACUGAACAAACAUAUUAAUAUUUUUACAUCAUUAAACAAAAAACCCAAAGGGGUGUUUUUGGUAGGGCUGGUCGGCAACGCGGCUGUGCCACAAGCCGUUUCUGGCCAUCAGGUCCCCGCACAGCACGAGCACAACCUUUCUACCCAGAAGUGGGUGGCCGCCAGCCAUUCCAUUAUUCAAGAGGCUUGGAAAGAGGCCGUGGCGGUCGUGGAAGAGCUAGAGCACGAUUCUCCACAGGUAAGGCAACCUUAUCCGCAUGCUUGUCCUCUUGUAUAAACCAAGUCUCCCUCCGCAGGUCACCUAACCCUUUUUUUCCAGAAAUGGGAAAAGUAGUCUUCAGGUGCAUGGGUCUUACAAACUGUACGCGGAUUCCAUAUAGAAUUAGAAACAAUCCCACAUUAAACAACCCCUCCCAGACCACUAACCUCCUCGGCUGAAGACACGUGACUCAUCGACCAAGAGUUACACGACAUACAGAAGAAAGCUGCCAUUCAACCAGUCACUGAACAGGGAGGGUUUUCCGCAAUAUAUUCCUGGUGCGAAAAAAGACAGGGGAUUUCCACCCGGUCAUCAAUUUACGGGAUCUCAACGCAAACGUAAUUUACCGACAUUUCAAAAUGGAAGGUAUCCACCUGCUACAGGAUCUUCUCCAAGAUGGAGACUCAAGGACACCUACCUCACAGUACCGAUGCACAUGGGCAGCCGUCCUUUCUUUAGAUUUCUAUGGAACGGAAACCCGUGGCACUGCCUCCCGUUUGGCCUCAGUUUGUCACUGUGGUGUUUCACAAAGAUCCUGGAAAAUAGUGGUGGCCCACCUCCAAAAGAAAGGAAUAAGAUGUAUAAUCUUUUUGGAUGACAUUCUGCUUUUUGGUCAAGUCCACACACAAUUACUAGUACAUACAACAUACACAGAGAAAUUCCUAGAAUCCCUGGGCUUCACAAUCAAUCCAGAAAAAUCAGCACUGACCCCCUCUCAAUUUGUUCAGUUCCUAGGGUUCGAAAUAGACUCUCAAUCCUGUACGCUCAGAGACAAUGUCUCUGUAGUCCGCUACAUCAACCAUCUGGGCGGUAUAUGUUCACAGACACUGACAGAACUCACGAAGGAGAUAUUUGACUAUUGCCUUCCAUGAAAUAUAACAUUGUUGGCAGAAUACCUCCCAGGGGAAACACACCUCACAGCAGAUUGGUUCUCUUGCCACUGGCGAGACAGCGAUUGGCAACUGGAACCCUGAAUAUUUGCAAACCUGCACGCGUACAGGGGACCAUUGACAUUAGACCUCUUCGCAUCCCGCACCUACCAUCAACUACCAGACCCGGAGAGCGCAGCGGUGGAUGAAUUCCUACACACAUGGCUGCACCAAGGAGCCUAUGCCUGCAAAAAGUGAAGAUGCUCUUCCUGGCGCUGUGGUGGCUGAGUCAACCUUGGUUUCCGGACCUCCUCGCCCUUUGCUGCGAACAUCAACUUCUCAUUCGGGACGAUCCUUGGUUACUCAGGGACCCAGGGGAAUCCCCGAUGUUACUAGAUGGACGUCUCUCAGUCUUUCAGGGUUGCCUGUAAUAUCGAAGAGUUAUCACCAACAGCUAGAGACCUCCUCUGAGACUUUUGGGCCCCAUGAACUAGACGAUGCUACCUCUCCGCAUGGCACUCCUGGGCCGAUUGGUGUGUGGGGCGGAAUCUCGAUUCCUUUACAGCCAAUGUUUCAUCAAUUUUGAACUUUCUAUCAUCACUCUUUUCAGAUGGCAAGUCCUAUCGUUCUAUUAACGUAGUCCGCUCAGCCAUCUCGGCCGCCCACGGGAAACCAGUGGGACAGGACCCGCUAAUUUGCCGCUUGCUAAGAGUUAUUCGACUUGGACUACCACCAUUGCCUAAAUACAAGACACUAUGGGAAAUCAACAUGGUUCUCCAGUUUUUAAAGGUUUGGCCUUCUAAUGACAGAUUAUCGCUGCAUCAAUUUACGGCCAAGAUGACGCUUCUUUUGGUCCUUGUUUCAUUCCAAUGGGUUUUGGAUGUACGCGCAUUUGCUUUCUCCUUUUCGGCAGAAGGCAUCACAUUCCGCAUUUCCCGGCGUACUAAAUCCACGUUGCUUUUUUACCCAUUUUUUUCCGUCUGAACCACAACUUUGGGUAGUUGCUACAUUAUGGGCAUAUGUGACAACAGCCAAUCUUCGCUCGUCAGCUGCACAACAAUUGCUUAUCUCCUAUGUCAGACCUCAUGCACCGGUUUCGGUCACUACUCUAUCGAGGUGGGUCCGUUGGUUACUUUCCCUGGUAAGGACUGACCCCUUGUUCGGAGCACACUCAGUUAGAGGUGCAGCAUCGUCAUCUGCCUUUACGGCGGAGGCCUCUUUGUCUGACAUCCUUCAGGCGGAGGAUUGGUCCUUAGAAACUACGUUUUUGACUUUCUACUUUCGCUCGCCUUAUCUCUUCUAGCAUCGAGUUAAAAUUGCAAAAUAUGAAGCCUCCAAUCAUGUAGUAAAAUUGAAGAUUAAGCUCGCUUAAGUGUACUGAUAAUCUUAAUUUUAAUAAUGACAGGAGGCAAAUAUUUCCCCUACCCUCCCUUUCUUAUAUCUUCUAUCUGGUUGUUUAAUGUGGGAAUGUUCUUUGAAUGUUUUGCAUGGAUACCUACUUUAGUUUUGUUGUCUACUUUAUUAAUUGUGAUGAAUCUUGUUUACUAGUCUAUACCUUGUUAUAAAAUGCUAAUCUACCUAGGUUAGGUAUUUUUGUAGUUUAAACAUUAAUAUGUUACUACUAAAGAUAGUGCAGUUAAGCAACUAGCAUUGUGAUGGUCAUGUGUGUUCACGUUUCAGUACUGUAUGAUUAAAACCUCUUACAUUCUUUCUCAGCAUAAUUUGAAGCAUCAAUUACUCCGGUGGAUUUCUGUACACGGAUGGGUUCGUCUCUGUUGACACCUGGAAUUUCCUCGUUCUACAGGAUAUCACAUGGACGCUCUUUCAACUUUUGUUACUACUGUUUAUCAUGUUUGUUAACCUGUGACGUCGCUUGGGCAAGAGGAAGUGCCUUAAGGGGAGGGCCUCCUGCCAUUACUAAAAUUAUGAUUAUCAGUACACUAAAGAUAGCAUAAUCUUCAAUUUUUGAAGGAUGAAAAAGUUAAACAAAUACAUUUUUUCACAGCCUUCUUUGCACAUAUUUAUUGUGGAGAACACAGUCUGUGUAGUAUAUUAUAAAUAUACAUAUACACACACACACACACAAAUAGCUCUGUACCUUGGAUGAGGACUAGAAUUACAAGCGAGAGCAAAGCGGGUGAAAGAGAACGUGAUCUGAGGUUAUAGGACCCAGCUUCAGUGUUUGAGACCCCCUUCCCCUCACCAAACCUCCAUCAAUGCCCUUGCCACAUCUGAUUUUAUUAUUAUUGGAAUUUUUUUUAGCGCCAGCUUAUUCCGCAGCGCUUUACUAACUAUAAGAUAAGACUAGGGACUAAUGAAAGUAUUUAGAAAAUUGGGCAGACUAGAUGGGCCGAAUGGUUCUUAUCCGCCGUCACAUUCUAUGUUUCUAACCAAAUGAGACAAUAAUAAAAUGUAACAGGAACAAUAGGUAGUUGAGGACCCUGCUCAAACAAGCUUGCAGUCUAGAGGAGGUGGGGUAUAAAAACACAAUAGGAAGGAUAUUGAGGAAGACAGCAAAUAGAUAUGGUGGGAAGGUAGCAGAACUGGAGGGGAGAGUGGAGUGUGGCCCUUUAGGAGAGAGCAAGAGGAAGGUUCGAGAGAUAGAAGUUAUUCUUGGAGGCCAUAAGUAUUCCUUAAAAGAUGGGUUUUAAAGGGACUUCUGAAAGGAUUGAAGACUAGAGAAGAGUCUGCCAGGGGUAGGCAAGCUGUUCCAAAGGAAAGGAGCCGCCUAUGAGAAGUCUUGCAGGUAUGAAUUUGCCGUAAGGGUGCGAGCAGCAGACAUGAGAUCACCAGUAGAGCGGAGGGACCGAGAGGGGGCAUACCUGUGAAUCAGUGAAGAAAUGUAAGAGGGGCUAGUGCUUUAUAGGUAAGGGUUAGUAUUUUAAAUUGACAGGUGUAGGGUACAGGAAGCCAGUGUAUGGAUUGACAGAGGGGUGAGGUAUGAGAUGAGCAACAGGAGAGAAAGAUCAGCCUGGCAGCAGCAUUUAUCACAAAUUGCAGGGGGCUGUACAGCUUCUGGGGGAGACCAAUUAGAAGAGAAUUAGAGAAUUACAGUAAUCCAUGCGAGAGAUUAGAACUAACUUAGUAUAAGACCCUAGUCUGAAAUUGGAGGUGCUAUUGCACUCUCCAUUUUUAGAUAUCAAAUACUGAGGAAGAAAUAUCAACAAUUGUAUAUGUCCCAAUAACCCAAAACGCUGUCUCUUGUAGAAGGAAGGAAUAUGGAAAGAUGUAAUUGCACUUAAUUCUUUUUUUUUUUUUCCUCCUUCUUCUUCUUCUUCUUCUUCUUCUUGUAGACCUUCUCAGUAUACCAAAGUGCUCUUGAGUGAAAUGUGAGGCCAUGUACGCAACAGGACAACGAUCCCAAGCACAGUAGCAAAUCUACAACAAAAUGGCUAAAAAUGAAAAGAAUCAAGGUGUUUCAAUAGCCCAGUUAAAGUCCAGACCUCAACCUGAUUGAAAUGCUGUGGAAGGUCUUAAGAGAGUUAUGCAUAAACAAAUGCCAGCAAACCUCAAUGAACUGAAGCAACAUUGUGGGAAAAAAAAACCCACAACAAUGUGAGAGAAAGUCAUACAGAAUAUGAUUUUGUCAAGUUAUUGCUGCUAAGGGUUGUUCUACAAGCUAUUGAGGUGUACUUAGUUUUUCC
This 25705-nucleotide long non-coding RNA is filed under the name Pelobates cultripes (western spadefoot toad). Lineage: Eukaryota; Metazoa; Chordata; Amphibia; Anura; Pelobatidae. The record is from RNAcentral.